CAGUAGCCGCGGUAAUACGUAGGUGGCAAGCGUUGUCCGGAAUUAUUGGGCGUAAAGGGCUCGCAGGCGGUUUCUUAAGUCUGAUGUGAAAGCCCCCGGCUCAACCGGGGAGGGUCAUUGGAAACUGGGAAACUUGAGUGCAGAAGAGGAGAGUGGAAUUCCACGUGUAGCGGUGAAAUGCGUAGAGAUGUGGAGGAACACCGGUGGCGAAGGCGACUCUCUGGUCUGUAACUGACGCUGAGGAGCGAAAGCGUGGGGAGCGAACAGGAUUAGAUACCCCUGUAGUCCCUGUCUCUUAUAC
Molecule: ribosomal RNA, 301 nt
Filed under: uncultured bacterium
Lineage: Bacteria
Description: partial 16S ribosomal RNA
Rfam family: Bacterial small subunit ribosomal RNA
Source: RNAcentral